RNAcentral lists this unclassified non-coding RNA (263 nucleotides) under plant metagenome. Its description in RNAcentral is "partial contains small subunit ribosomal RNA, internal transcribed spacer 1, and 5.8S ribosomal RNA". The record is from RNAcentral.
UUUCCGUAGGUGAGCCUGCGGAAGGAUCAUUAUUGUUUAACCGAGAUGCGAGGGCUGUCGCUGACCCGAAAGGUCAUGCACGCCCGAGUGCCCUCACACACAUCCAUCUCACCCCUAUGUGCACCACCGCGUGGGUCCCCCUUUGGCUUGUUCGGAGGGGGGCUUACGUUUUCACACAAACUUUGUAUGCAGUGUAGAAUGUAUUUUUUGUUUUUGCGAUCACGCAAUCAAUACAACUUUCAACAACGGAUCUCUUGGCUCUC